CAUUACCCAGAGCAGCAAUGAUUUGGGAAUUGAUAUUUUUACCAAAAUUACUGGCUAAAGCAGCAGCGAUCUACGGAGGCAAAAGAAGAACAAAGAUGUCAUCAUUCCCACACAAAUGUGUGUCCAGAAGGUCUGUGCAGACUCCAUUGACAUUUUCCAAAACAGUCAAACUUUCUGGUGCGUUGAGCUGGGUGAAGACAGGACCAGGGGCAAAGCACUGCCCCAAUGAAGGAAGGCUAGAAAGGAGAUAAAAGCAGGAGUGGAUUGAAGUUUCUGUCUUGCCGAUAAACCAACUGAAUGUAGUAAAUUAUGAGGUUCAGAUCCACGUCGGACUGACUGAGGAGCGCAAGAUUCUGAGGAUUCACUGUGAAACGCUGCACAUCCUGAGAAGAGAAGAAACAUUAUGUUUAUUAACAAGUCAUUUUCUACUGAUCUAUAAAUAUUUAAGCACAUUUGAAUUAAAUAAAGAACCUGCUGAGA
This is a long non-coding RNA of Oryzias melastigma (Indian medaka), 480 nucleotides long. RefSeq lists it as uncharacterized. The record is from RefSeq and is a predicted model, not a curated record. NCBI's taxonomy places the organism in Eukaryota, Metazoa, Chordata, Actinopteri, Beloniformes, Adrianichthyidae. The transcript is spliced from 3 exons.